Molecule: ribosomal RNA, 341 nt
Filed under: Ictinogomphus australis
Lineage: Eukaryota; Metazoa; Arthropoda; Insecta; Odonata; Gomphidae
Description: partial 12S ribosomal RNA
Rfam family: Microsporidia small subunit ribosomal RNA
Source: RNAcentral
GUAGUAGUUAUGUUCUUGAAACCCAAAGAAUUUGGCGGUACUUUAGUCCUUUCAGAGGAACCUGUCCCGUAAUCGAUAUUCCACGAGAAGAAUUACUUGUUUUUGCUUUCAGUUUGUAUACCUCCGUCAUCAGAGAAUCUUUUUAGAGUUAAUAAUUUUCUUGAGAUAGUGAAUAUAGUAUGUCAGGUCAAGGUGCAGCUUAUAAAUGAGUGGAGAUGGGUUACAAUAAUAAUAUUUAGACGGAUUAGGGUAUUUAUAUUAUUCUAUGAAGGUGGAUUUGAUAGUAAUAUUAAUUUUUUAUUAAUAUGAUUGUAGGCUCUAAAGUAUGCACACAUCGCCCG